RNAcentral lists this ribosomal RNA (253 nucleotides) under uncultured bacterium. RNAcentral describes it as "partial 16S ribosomal RNA". It matches the Rfam family "Bacterial small subunit ribosomal RNA", at positions 524 to 776 of the family's 1533-position model. The record is from RNAcentral.
UACGUAGGAGGCGAGCGUUGUCCGGAAUCACUGGGCGUAAAGCGCGUGUAGGCGGGCAGGCAAGUCUGCUGUGAAAGCGCCUGGCUUAACCGGGCGAGGUCGGCGGAAACUGCUUACCUGGAGGGCGGUAGAGGGGGGUGGAAUUCCCGGUGUAGUGGUGAAAUGCGUAGAUAUCGUAAGGAAGACCAGUGGCGAAGGCGGGUCUCUGGACAGUUCCUGACACUGAGACACGAAGGCCAGGGGAGCAAACGGG